Molecule: transfer RNA, 80 nt
Filed under: Scrophularia henryi
Lineage: Eukaryota; Viridiplantae; Streptophyta; Magnoliopsida; Lamiales; Scrophulariaceae
Description: tRNA-Leu
Source: RNAcentral
AAAAAAAAGUUCAUUAAAAAAAAAUUGUAAGUGGGGGUUCUAUCCCUUACUUCAGAGUAGGGCUAUAUAGUUUUAAAAGA